GCAGAGUCAGAGAGCAGCCAUAGAGCUGCCAGAGUCAGACAUGCUGAAUCUUUCCUGAUUUCUUAUUUUGCGUGUGCGAGUGUCUUGCCCACGUGGAUGUGCAUAGCUGGUGCCCAAGAAGGUCAGAAGAAGGUUGAACCCACAGAUGCUGCACCCAUGGAUAUGGAGAAUCAACUACACACCCUUUGUCCUCAUAUUUUUUUAAGAUUUAUUUGAUUUUGGGGCUGGAGAGAUGGCUCAGAGGUUAAGAACACUGACUUUUCUUUCAGAGGUCCUGAGUUCAUUUCCCAGCAACCACAUUGUG
This is a long non-coding RNA of Microtus oregoni (creeping vole), 304 nucleotides long. RefSeq lists it as uncharacterized. The transcript is spliced from 3 exons. NCBI's taxonomy places the organism in Eukaryota, Metazoa, Chordata, Mammalia, Rodentia, Cricetidae. The record is from RefSeq and is a predicted model, not a curated record.